RNAcentral lists this ribosomal RNA (235 nucleotides) under Virgibacillus proomii. RNAcentral's name for it is "partial 23S ribosomal RNA". The record is from RNAcentral. Lineage: Bacteria; Bacillati; Bacillota; Bacilli; Caryophanales; Bacillaceae.
CGACAUACGGACUGGAAUGAACCGAAGGAGAUAAAGGAAACGCGAAGAGCCGAAAGGCGAAUCGAUGUUGACUUAUCAUACGAAGGGGAAGGAAGUCAGGCAAGUCGCUAUGAGCGGAAGCUAGAUUAACCAAAAGCAAUAAAGGCGAAAAAGCGUCUAGCUUAUUUCACAUAAAGCGAGUUAGUUAAGUGAAUAAGGGCGCACGGUGGAUGCCUUGGCACUAGGAGCCGAAGAA